CGAGAAUCUUCGGCAAUGGGCGCAAGCCUGACCGAGCGACGCCGCGUGCGGGAUGAAGGCCCUUGGGUUGUAAACCGCUGUCAGGGGGGAGCAAGGCGUAAGCUUGAGCGAGCCCCAGAGGAAGCACGGGCUAAGUUCGUGCCAGCAGCCGCGGUAAUACGAACUGUGCGAACGUUAUUCGGAAUCACUGGGCUUACAGGGUGCGUAGGCGGCCUUUCAAGUCAGGUGUGAAAUCCCCCAGCUCAACUGGGGAACUGCGCUUGAAACUGGAGGGCUGGAGGCAACUAGAGGUGCAUGGAACUUCCGGUGGAGCGGUGAAAUGUGUUGAUAUCGGAAGGAACACCAGAGGCGAAAGCGAUGCACUGGGGUUGAUCUGACGCUGAGGCACGAAAGCCAGGGGAGCGAACG
Molecule: ribosomal RNA, 408 nt
Filed under: uncultured bacterium
Lineage: Bacteria
Description: bacterial SSU rRNA
Rfam family: Bacterial small subunit ribosomal RNA
Source: RNAcentral